UGAGCUCGAUGAGUAGGGCGGGACACGUGGUAUCCUGUCUGAAUAUGGGGGGACCAUCCUCCAAGGCUAAAUACUCCUGACUGACCGAUAGUGAACCAGUACCGUGAGGGAAAGGCGAAAAGAACCCCGGCGAGGGGAGUGAAAAAGAACCUGAAACCGUGUACGUACAAGCAGUGGGAGCCUCUUAAUGGGGUGACUGCGUACCUUUUGUAUAAUGGGUCAGCGACUUAUAUUCUGUAGCAAGGUUAACCGAAUAGGGGAGCCGAAGGGAAACCGAGUCUUAACUGGGCGUUAAGUUGCAGGGUAUAGACCCGAAACCCGGUGAUCUAGCCAUGGGCAGGUUGAAGGUUGGGUAACACUAACUGGAGGACCGAACCGACUAAUGUUGAAAAAUUAGCGGAUGACUUGUGGCUGGGGGUGAAAGGCCAAUCAAACCGGGAGAUAGCUGGUUCUCCCCGAAAGCUAUUUAGGUAGCGCCUCGUGAAUUCAUCUCCGGGGGUAGAGCACUGUUUCGGCAAGGGGGUCAUCCCGACUUACCAACCCGAUGCAAACUGCGAAUACCGGAGAAUGUUAUCACGGGAGACACACGGCGGGUGCUAACGUCCGUCGUGAAGAGGGAAACAACCCAGACCGCCAGCUAAGGUCCCAAAGUCAUGGUUAAGUGGGAAACGAUGUGGGAAGGCCCAGACAGCCAGGAUGUUGGCUUAGAAGCAGCCAUCAUUUAAAGAAAGCGUAAUAGCUCACUGGUCGAGUCGGCCUGCGCGGAAGAUGUAACGGGGCUAAACCAUGCACCGAAGCUGCGGCAGCGACACUAUGUGUUGUUGGGUAGGGGAGCG
Molecule: ribosomal RNA, 836 nt
Filed under: Escherichia coli
Lineage: Bacteria; Pseudomonadati; Pseudomonadota; Gammaproteobacteria; Enterobacterales; Enterobacteriaceae
Description: partial 23S ribosomal RNA
Rfam family: Bacterial large subunit ribosomal RNA
Source: RNAcentral